UUUGUCUUUUAAUUGUGGACUGGAAUGAAAGGUUAGACUAAAUAUUUUUGUCUUAUGCUGAAAUGUUGAAAUUUAUAAUUUAGUAAAAAAGCUAAAAUUUCUCUUAAAGACGAGAAGACCCUAUCAAGCUUUACAAUUUUAUUUUAAUAUCAAAUUAUGAAAAUAAUUGUUUAACUGGGGCAGUGAACAAGAUAAAUCUUGUUUAAUAAUUGUGAUUUAUCAAUCUUGAAAAAUCAAUAAAUUUUUAAACAAAAACAAGUUACUGUAGGGAUAACAGCAUAAUUUUUUUAAAGAGUUCUCAUCAUCAAAAAAUUUUGUGACCUCGAUGUUGGAUUAAGAGGCCUCUUCCGCGCAAUAGCGGGAAAAGGAAGUCUGUUCGACUUUUAAUUUCUUCCA
RNAcentral lists this ribosomal RNA (396 nucleotides) under Vaejovis vorhiesi group sp. RWB-2013. Its description in RNAcentral is "partial 16S ribosomal RNA". It matches the Rfam family "Bacterial large subunit ribosomal RNA", at positions 1968 to 2600 of the family's 2925-position model. The record is from RNAcentral. Lineage: Eukaryota; Metazoa; Arthropoda; Arachnida; Scorpiones; Vaejovidae.